AGAGUUUGAUCCUGGCUCAGAAGCGAACGCUGGCGGCGUGCUUAACACAUGCAAGUCGAGUGCGCAGUCUUCUGUAGCAAUACAGGAGGCUGGCGCACGGCGCACGGGUGCGUAACACGUGGGCAAUCUGCCCUCGGAUGGGGGAUAACCCCGCGAAAGCGGGGCUAAUACCGCAUGACAUUCCGAAGACUCCGGUCUUUGGACUCAAAGGCCGCAAGGCCGUCUGAGGAGGAGCCCGCGCCCGAUUAGCUAGUUGGUGAGGUAACGGCUCACCAAGGCUUUGAUCGGUAGCCGGUCUGAGAGGAUGGCCGGCCACACUGGAACUGAGACACGGUCCAGACUCCUACGGGAGGCAGCAGUGGGGAAUAUUGCGCAAUGGGCGAAAGCCUGACGCAGCGACGCCGCGUGGGGGAUGAAGCUUCUCGGAGUGUAAACCCCUUUCGACCCGGACGAAUGACCCGCAAGGGUUUGACGGUACGGGUAUAAGAAGCCCCGGCUAACUACGUGCCAGCAGCCGCGGUAAUACGUAGGGGGCCAGCGUUGCUCGGAAUUACUGGGCGUAAAGGGUUCGUAGGUGGUGCGGCAAGUCGGAAGUGAAAUCUCUGGGCUUAACUCAGAGGCUGCUUUCGAAACUGCCGUGCUCGAGUGCGGGAGAGGCCAGUGGAAUUGCGGUGUAGCGGUGAAAUGCGUAGAUAUCUGCAGGAACACCCGUGGCGAAGGCGGCUGGCUGGACCGCAACUGACACUGAGGAACGAAAGCUAGGGGAGCAAACAGGAUUAGAUACCCCUGUAGUCC
Molecule: ribosomal RNA, 795 nt
Filed under: uncultured bacterium
Lineage: Bacteria
Description: bacterial SSU rRNA
Rfam family: Bacterial small subunit ribosomal RNA
Source: RNAcentral